UGCUAAUACCCGAUGUGCCGAAAGGUGAAAGAUUUAUCGCCAGAAGAUGAGCUCGCGUCCGAUUAGCUAGUUGGUAGAGUAAGAGCCUACCAAGGCGACGAUCGGUAGCUGGUCUGAGAGGAUGACCAGCCACACUGGGACUGAGACACGGCCCAGACUCCUACGGGAGGCAGCAGUGGGGAAUUUUCCGCAAUGGGCGAAAGCCUGACGGAGCAAGACCGCGUGAGGGAGGAAGGCUCUUGGGUUGUAAACCUCUUUUCUCUGGGAAGAAGCUCUGACGGUACCAGAGGAAUCAGCAUCGGCUAACUCCGUGCACAGCAGCCGCGGUAAUACGGAGUGAUGCAAGCGUUAUCCCGGAAUUAUUGUCGCGUAAAGCGGCAAAAUUUGGCCGUUCAAGCUCUGCCGUUAAAACCAGUGGCUCAACCACUGACAGGGCGGUGGAAACUGAAUAGCUGAGAGUGUGGUAGGGGUAGAGGGUAAUUCCGCAGUGUAGCGUGUGAAAUGCGCUAGAGAUUGGGAAGAACACCGGUGGCGAAAAGCCCUCUGCUGGACCACAACUGACAUCUGUACAUACCGAGCUAGUCUGCCUAGU
RNAcentral lists this ribosomal RNA (592 nucleotides) under Phormidium irriguum C22. RNAcentral's name for it is "bacterial SSU rRNA". It matches the Rfam family "Bacterial small subunit ribosomal RNA", at positions 161 to 769 of the family's 1533-position model. Lineage: Bacteria; Bacillati; Cyanobacteriota; Cyanophyceae; Oscillatoriales; Oscillatoriaceae. The record is from RNAcentral.